AGGGUUGUAGUUAAAUAUAACAUUAAAUUUGCAAUUUAAAAGUAUUAACUAAGUUAAUCUUC
This 62-nucleotide transfer RNA is filed under the name Tenebrionoidea sp. 7 KM-2017. RNAcentral describes it as "tRNA-Ala". Lineage: Eukaryota; Metazoa; Arthropoda; Insecta; Coleoptera. The record is from RNAcentral.